This 27-nucleotide non-coding RNA is filed under the name Drosophila melanogaster (fruit fly). Lineage: Eukaryota; Metazoa; Arthropoda; Insecta; Diptera; Drosophilidae. RNAcentral also lists the same sequence under 5 other names. The record is from RNAcentral.
CAAGGUUUCCGUAGGUGAACCUGCGGA